AUUGAACGCUGGCGGCAUGCUUUACACAUGCAAGUCGAACGGCAGCGCGGGCUUCGGCCUGGCGGCGAGUGGCGAACGGGUGAGUAAUACAUCGGAACGUGCCCAGUAGUGGGGGAUAGCUCGGCGAAAGCCGGAUUAAUACCGCAUACGACCUGAGGGUGAAAGCGGGGGAUCUUCGGACCUCGCGCUAUUGGAGCGGCCGAUGGGAGAUUAGCUAGCUGGUGGGGUAAAGGCCUACCAAGGCGACGAUCGGUACCUGGUCUGAGAGGACGACCAGCCAGACUGGGAGUGAGACACGGCCCAGACUCCGACGGGAGGCAGCAGUGGGGAAUGUUGGACAAUGGGCGAAAGCCUGAUCCAGCAAUGCCGCGUGUGUGAUGAAGGCCUUCGGGUUGUAAAGCACUUUUGGCGGGAAGGAAAAGGAAUGUGCCAAUACCACGGUUCGAUGACGGUACCCGCAGAAUAAGCACCGGCUAACUACGUG
RNAcentral lists this ribosomal RNA (484 nucleotides) under uncultured bacterium. RNAcentral's name for it is "partial 16S ribosomal RNA". It matches the Rfam family "Bacterial small subunit ribosomal RNA", at positions 29 to 507 of the family's 1533-position model. The record is from RNAcentral.